UAAAAAUAAGCAAUUGCAUUUUUGUGGUUACAUGCCAAUGAGCAUGUGCAAAAAGCAAGGCAAAAAUAAAUUCUAUUCUCACUCUCUCAGUAACAGCUAAAGACACACGUGUAUAUCUAAAGUCAUAAACUAGAACAAGCUAAUAAUUAGCAGCUUGACGCUCACUGGCUCUUACGUUUUGAAUAAACUCAAUGGUCCCUUUGACAUCAUCGCUGCUGGCCAGGAUACAGACUGCCCUAGCAACAGGGGGCGACGUCUCAAAUUUAGCUUUGUCUACUGCCAUGACUUGAAGCAGAACCUAUAAGAUAUCCAACAGCAAGAAAGCAAGGGCUGGUUGUAUAAUAGACCGAGGGUUUAAAACUGCAGUUUGUUGCAAUUUGUUUGAGGGUUUAAAACAAAGUUAAAACUACAUGUGUAAUGCACGCGAUAUUGCAGGUUUAGACUUUACAUAUGAAAUUGUUGAAAUUGUCACACUGACCAGCUGUCAAAAAUGUUAGAGAAAUACGGAGCAGUAACUUCAAUUGAUUUUAUUGUUGCUCGUGGGUGUGCCUAUGUUGUCAUGGAAACUCGUGAGGCUGCGGCUAAAGUAGUAGAUCAACUGAGAGACCCAAAACUCCUCGGACAGAAAUGCAAAGUACGAGAGAGAGAGAGAGAUUGUAUCAGCACAUGUGUUUUGUUAUGCAUCAGAAAAUGUAACAGAUUUUUUGAAUUGCCUGAAUCAUCCUUACCUACAUAUACAGUCAAGGGCGUAGCUAGCAUAAGGCUAGGGUAGGCUAUAGCCUACCCUAAAGUUCAGAAGUCAGAAUUGAAGUUUAGUAGUUUACCUAUAUUGAGUUUCUGCCUUAGUCACCUAUGACCAAAGAUUAUAAAAGUUUAGGGUAGUUGUCUCAACUGGCAGUUACUCACUCAGUCACUUUUGACACAGGCAAACAGAGACA
This is a long non-coding RNA of Amphimedon queenslandica, 938 nucleotides long. RefSeq lists it as uncharacterized. The transcript is spliced from 2 exons. Lineage: Eukaryota; Metazoa; Porifera; Demospongiae; Haplosclerida; Niphatidae. The record is from RefSeq and is a predicted model, not a curated record.